UUUAAGAGAAUUUAUAACAUGUUUGAAUGAAUUUUUGGUUGGAUCCAAUGUUAAACCGCCUUAGAAAACUCAAGAACAGAUAUUUUUCUGGUGUAGUUUGCUAAGCGAACAGGAGCUUCGCUUAGCGAAUAGCUCGCCACCAGCUCGCUACCUGUUCGCCAUGCACCUGUAAUCCUCUGACGUAGUUCGCUGCAGCGAACUGAGCUUCGCUUAGCGAAUAGUUCGCUACCUGUUCGCUACUGCUUCGCUUAGCGAACAGUACUGAACCUGCAACUUUUUGUUAAUGGUUGUAAGUGUAAUUAGGCACUUGUAACAUGGUUUUAGGGUAUCCUUACAUGAUUGUUGAUACAUGUUGAUACUGUUAAUGCUUAUUGUUAAUCGUGAUAUGAUUGAUAAACGUGUAUGCAAUAAGUUGUAGUU
This 420-nucleotide long non-coding RNA is filed under the name Trifolium pratense (red clover). RNAcentral describes it as "long non-coding RNA (TPRA_LNC009582)". Lineage: Eukaryota; Viridiplantae; Streptophyta; Magnoliopsida; Fabales; Fabaceae. The record is from RNAcentral.